This 729-nucleotide ribosomal RNA is filed under the name uncultured marine eukaryote. Its description in RNAcentral is "SSU rRNA". It matches the Rfam family "Eukaryotic small subunit ribosomal RNA", at positions 452 to 1185 of the family's 1831-position model. The record is from RNAcentral.
UGACACAGGGAGGUAGUGACAAUAAAUAACAAUGCCGGGCCUUUACAGGUCUGGCAAUUGGAAUGAGAACAAUUUAAAUCCCUUAUCGAGUAUCAAUUGGAGGGCAAGUCUGGUGCCAGCAGCCGCGGUAAUUCCAGCUCCAAUAGCGUAUAUUAAAGUUGUUGCAGUUAAAAAGCUCGUAGUUGGAUUUCUGCCAAGGCCGACCGGUCCGCCCUUUGGGUGAGUAUCUGGCUUGGCUGGAUCAUUUUCUUGGAGGGCAUGGCUGCACUUAACUGUGUGGUAUGCAACCCAAGACUUUUACUUUGAGGAAAUUAGAGUGUCUCAAGCAGGCUCGCGCCUUAAAUACAUUAGCAUGGAAUAAUAAGAUAAGGCCUUGGUUGUAUUUUGUUGGUUUCUACAGCUGAGGUAAUGAUGAACAGGGAUACUUGGGGGCAUACGAAUUUAACUGUCAGAGGUGAAAUUCUUGGAUUUGUUAAAGACGGACUACUGUGAAAGCAUUUGCCAAGAAUGUUUUCAUUGAUCAAGAAUGAAAGUUAGGGGGUCGAAGAUGAUCAGAUACCGUCUUAGUCUUAACCAUAAACUAUGCCGACUAGAGAUUGGAGGUUGCUACUUACAUGACUCCUUCAGCACCUUAUGGGAAAUCAAAGUCUUUGGGUUCCGGGGGGAGUAUGGUUGCAAGGCUGAAACUUAAAGGAAUUGACGGAAGGGCACCACCAGUAGUGGAGCCUG